This is a non-coding RNA of Blautia sp. CAG:237, 74 nucleotides long. NCBI's taxonomy places the organism in Bacteria, Bacillati, Bacillota, Clostridia, Lachnospirales, Lachnospiraceae. The record is from Rfam.
ACCCGAAUUGGGAAUGAAGUUCUCCCAUGGGAAACCUAAACUGCUUAUUCAGAGCUGAUGACUUCUACGAUUAU